This 1622-nucleotide long non-coding RNA is filed under the name Aedes aegypti (yellow fever mosquito). RNAcentral's name for it is "lncRNA AAEL024201". The record is from RNAcentral. Lineage: Eukaryota; Metazoa; Arthropoda; Insecta; Diptera; Culicidae.
ACCCAAAACUAAUUUUGCUUUUUCUGCGCGGUGAAAAGAUAUAUUGAGAUAGAAGAAUAAGAUAAAGUAGACAAUUAUUUCCUAAGCCCCAGAUGUCUACAAUACAAGAACUGCCCUGUUUAAAAGACGCUGGUCGGAUAUGGAUUACGGUUUUCCGAUAUCUUCGCACAAAACCCGCAGAAUUUUGCAUCGUGCUAGCCGAUGUAUAACUGUUCACUGAACGCCCAGCUCGAAUAGUAGCAACGACCCCGAAAAAAACAAUUCGCAAAUCAGUAAAACACAACGCGAACAAAACUGGUCAGUAGGGUAAAAUUGUUAAGUUCACAUUUGGCGUUUGCUGCUGAUGAUGAGAAAUGCAGAAUGAUGAUGACUUGGGAAAACUGAUGAAGAUUUCAAUAGCAUUUGUUGAUGAUUGAAAUGCUUGAACACAUUUUCUCGGCUAUCAAUCUGUCGAUUGCAAGUGUUGGAUGUUUUGGUAAAUAAUGUCACUUCUGCAUAUAUUGUGAUAGGGAGCUGAAUCGAAUCUAGUUGCUCUGGUUCCGAUGAAAAGAUCCGGCACACACCCUGACGAAUAAGUUAACUCGCUUUUCCCGUGAGAAUCGAAAGCAUCCAAGCUGGAAUGCCGCGACCUUAUCACUACGUUCUGCGACGCGGAACUGCCAACUGGCGAACAAUCACAGACAACGUCAAUCACUCGCGACACGAUUAGCGAAGGCUUGGUUCAAUCGCGUUGUUGUUUUCACCGAGGGUUCUAAUAAUAAAAGUGCACUGUUUUCGAAAGUCGCUCUACAAUCUUCGAAAGCAGAGGACCGGGGAAGCGAUGGGAAUUGUCACUUCAGAGGCUGAUGUACAGGGGAUUGUGUAUCUACAGUAUGAAUCAUAAAAAUGGAAAAUAUAUCAUGUUUAUAAUUCAGGGCAGUUUAUUUUGAAGAAUUUAAGUUUGAAAAAAAUGUUCUCGAGCAAACAUAUAUUUUCAACAAUUAAAUUAGAUUUUUCAAGGUGGAAUGUUUGUCUCCAGAAUACAGCGAUCAAACCGUUUUUCUGACUUUUGUAGAACAGAACUUUCGAACAUUAUUGCUUUAGUACAUCAAUUAGGUUAGAAAAUAAAAUAUAUGAAAAAAAUGAUUGUAUUGUGAGGUCAUAUCAGGAACGUACGACAGAAAUACAUUUACCUACAAAAACAAUAAAAAUAACACUUUUGCAAGCUUCUACAAAAUUUCGAUUUUUUUGGACCAUACUCUACAAGGCUAGGUGCAGUUCGGAUUCUUCAACACAAUUGGCUCAUACACACAUAAACAGAUCCGAUUGGUGUAGAUGGGACUCAUUGAGAUACUGAUUAACAAGUUGAAUACUUGAUAAUGGCCAGUUGAAUGGCCGUAUAGGUGAUUGUAACUUAAUUUCAUGGCGCGAGUGGUUACGAUUGUGCGUGCUUUAUGACUUACGAGUAACAAAGGGACUACAGAAGGAAAAGUACGCAAUACAGUGAUAGCUAGAACAGGAAAUUUUACUUUCUACUAAUGUGAUUCAAGGACAGGAAUCUCGUGUAAAGGAGGUGGAAGUGUAGUUACUAAGCUUAAGACUUAUACAGAAAUAAAAAUAUUUAAAUUUCAAUGUACCGUAAA